This 1346-nucleotide ribosomal RNA is filed under the name uncultured bacterium. Its description in RNAcentral is "bacterial SSU rRNA". It matches the Rfam family "Bacterial small subunit ribosomal RNA", at positions 28 to 1381 of the family's 1533-position model. The record is from RNAcentral.
GACGAACGCUUUCGGCGUGCUUAACACAUGCAAGUCGAACGGAAAGGCCCUGCUUUUGUGGGGUGCUCGAGUGGCGAACGGGUGAGUAACACGUGAGUAACCUGCCCUUGACUUUGGGAUAACUUCAGGAAACUGGGGCUAAUACCGGAUAGGAGCUCCUGCUGCAUGGUGGGGGUUGGAAAGUUUCGGCGGUUGGGGAUGGACUCGCGGCUUAUCAGCUUGUUGGUGGGGUAGUGGCUUACCAAGGCUUUGACGGGUAGCCGGCCUGAGAGGGUGACCGGCCACAUUGGGACUGAGAUACGGCCCAGACUCCUACGGGAGGCAGCAGUGGGGAAUAUUGCACAAUGGGCGGAAGCCUGAUGCAGCAACGCCGCGUGCGGGAUGACGGCCUUCGGGUUGUAAACCGCUUUCGCCUGUGACGAAGCGUGAGUGACGGUAAUGGGUAAAGAAGCACCGGCUAACUACGUGCCAGCAGCCGCGGUGAUACGUAGGGUGCGAGCGUUGUCCGGAUUUAUUGGGCGUAAAGGGCUCGUAGGUGGUUGAUCGCGUCGGAAGUGUAAUCUUGGGGCUUAACCCUGAGCGUGCUUUCGAUACGGGUUGACUUGAGGAAGGUAGGGGAGAAUGGAAUUCCUGGUGGAGCGGUGGAAUGCGCAGAUAUCAGGAGGAACACCAGUGGCGAAGGCGGUUCUCUGGGCCUUUCCUGACGCUGAGGAGCGAAAGCGUGGGGAGCGAACAGGCUUAGAUACCCUGGUAGUCCACGCUGUAAACGGUGGGUACUAGGUGUGGGGUCCAUUCCACGGGUUCCGUGCCGUAGCUAACGCUUUAAGUACCCCGCCUGGGGAGUACGGCCGCAAGGCUAAAACUCAAAGGAAUUGACGGGGCCCCGCACAAGCGGCGGAGCAUGCGGAUUAAUUCGAUGCAACGCGUAGAACCUUACCUGGGUUUGACAUGGAUCGGGAGCGCUCAGAGAUGGGUGUGCCUCUUUUGGGGUCGGUUCACAGGUGGUGCAUGGCUGUCGUCAGCUCGUGUCGUGAGAUGUUGGGUUAAGUCCCGCAACGAGCGCAACCCUUGUUCACUGUUGCCAGCACGUUAUGGUGGGGACUCAGUGGAGACCGCCGGGGUCAACUCGGAGGAAGGUGGGGAUGACGUCAAGUCAUCAUGCCCCUUAUGUCCAGGGCUUCACGCAUGCUACAAUGGCUGGUACAGAGAGUGGCGAGCCUGUGAGGGUGAGCGAAUCUCGGAAAGCCGGUCUCAGUUCGGAUUGGGGUCUGCAACUCGACCUCAUGAAGUCGGAGUCGCUAGUAAUCGCAGAUCAGCAACGCUGCGGUGAAUACGUUCCCGGGGCU